GUCUCAGUAAUAUAAUCAAUAUAAUAUGCUUUCAACAUAUAAAUAGGUGAUAAUCCUCUGAGAUU
RNAcentral lists this transfer RNA (65 nucleotides) under Calanus simillimus. Its description in RNAcentral is "tRNA-Glu". The record is from RNAcentral. Lineage: Eukaryota; Metazoa; Arthropoda; Copepoda; Calanoida; Calanidae.